GAGGGCAUAGCUCAGUGGUAGAGAGCGUGCUUAGUGAGCACAGGGUCCUGGGUUCAAUCCUCAGCACCUCCA
RNAcentral lists this transfer RNA (72 nucleotides) under Camelus bactrianus (Bactrian camel). It matches the Rfam family "tRNA". From Rfam's summary of the family: Transfer RNA (tRNA) molecules are approximately 80 nucleotides in length. Their secondary structure includes four short double-helical elements and three loops (D, anti-codon, and T loops). Lineage: Eukaryota; Metazoa; Chordata; Mammalia; Artiodactyla; Camelidae. RNAcentral also lists the same sequence under 1 other name. The record is from Rfam by way of RNAcentral.